CAGCAGCCGCGGGAAUACGAAGGGUGCAAGCGUUACUCGGAAUUACUGGGCGUAAAGCGUGCGCAGGCGGUUUGUUAAGACAGAUGUGAAAUCCCCGGGCUCAACCUGGGAACUGCAUUUGUGACUGGCAAGCUAGAGUGUGGCAGAGGGGGGUGGAAUUCCGCGUGUAGCAGUGAAAUGCGUAGAUAUGCGGAGGAACACCGAUGGCGAAGGCAGCCCCCUGGGCCAACACUGACGCUCAUGCACGAAAGCGUGGGGAGCGAACAGGAUUAGAUACCCGCGUAGUCCCUGUCUCUUAUAA
This 301-nucleotide ribosomal RNA is filed under the name uncultured bacterium. RNAcentral's name for it is "partial 16S ribosomal RNA". It matches the Rfam family "Bacterial small subunit ribosomal RNA", at positions 509 to 809 of the family's 1533-position model. The record is from RNAcentral.